GCAACUACCACUCAGGGCCGGAAAGCUCUCCAAACUCGGUCAUUUAGAGGAAGUAAAAGUCGUAACAAGGUCUCCGUUGGUGAACCAGCGGAGGGAUCAUUACCGAGUUUAC
This 112-nucleotide ribosomal RNA is filed under the name Fusarium oxysporum f. sp. vasinfectum. RNAcentral describes it as "partial 18S ribosomal RNA". It matches the Rfam family "Eukaryotic small subunit ribosomal RNA", at positions 1730 to 1831 of the family's 1831-position model. Lineage: Eukaryota; Fungi; Ascomycota; Sordariomycetes; Hypocreales; Nectriaceae. The record is from RNAcentral.